This 497-nucleotide ribosomal RNA is filed under the name uncultured bacterium. RNAcentral describes it as "partial 16S ribosomal RNA". It matches the Rfam family "Bacterial small subunit ribosomal RNA", at positions 28 to 507 of the family's 1533-position model. The record is from RNAcentral.
GAUGAACGCUGGCGGCGUGCCUAAUACAUGCAAGUCGAGCGAACAGACGAGGCUUUUGUUCCUCUGACGUUAGCGGCGGACGGGUGAUUAGUACGUGGAUAACCUACCUAUAAGCCUGGGUUAAUUUCGGGAAACCGGAGCUAAUACCGGGUAAUAUAUUGGACCGCAUGGUUGAAUGGUGUUGGAAGGUUUUGCUGGCACUUAUAGAUGUAUCCGCGCCGCGUUAGCUAGUUGGUUAGGUAACGGCGUAGGAAGGCGACGAGGCGUGGCCGCCCUGUGAGGGUGAGCGGCCACACUGGGACUGAGAGACGGGCCCGACUCCUACGGGAGGCGGAGGUAGGGAAUCUUCCGCACUGGGCGCAAGCCUGACGGACAAACGCCGCGUGAGUGAUGAAGGUCUUCGGAUCGUGAGACUCUCUUAUUAGAGAAGAGCAAAUGUGUCAGUUAGUAGGGACGUCUUGACGGUACCGAAUCAGAAAGCCACGGCUAACUACGUG